This 45-nucleotide transfer RNA is filed under the name Oxytate striatipes. Its description in RNAcentral is "tRNA-Leu". Lineage: Eukaryota; Metazoa; Arthropoda; Arachnida; Araneae; Thomisidae. The record is from RNAcentral.
AUCUAAUUGGCAGAAAAGUGCAUUAAGUUUAAGUCUUAAAUAUAA